AGCCAGCGCUCCGCUCCUCCUCUUCCUGCUCCCCUCCUCCUCCUCGGGUCGGGCCGGAACCGGAACCGGAAGCGCGGCUGCGCGCACCCCGCGUCCUUUGCCCGUUGCGUCCCCCGGCGCGGCCUGGGGCCCUCGCGUUGGGUUCCGGUGCGGACGGCCGGCUGGUGCCGGAGGGCGGCCCGCAGAGCGGGGACUUUUGCUUUUAUUCUCGUUUAACUUAGCAGCCGCACGGCCGCCUCCCGGGGCCCGGGUCCGCGGGCUCCCUGGGCGCUGAGCGGACACCAGCCGAGCUGGGGCAAGUCGUAACUCCCGGGCAGCAAAGGAGGCGUCUACCCGACGCAGACUCCCUCUCUUUGGCGGAAAUGUGUGGCUUCUUCUCUAAAAUAAGAAUAAAAAUCAAAAUCAGGCAAGCCGGAUGUGCCGCCGUGGGCAUGACUGACGCAGGCCUGACUUUCCCGAGCGCCUCCCUUCCUGGCGGGGCGCGGAGGCCCCUCGGGAGGAGGGUUUCCUGGGAGACAGGAGCUGGGUCUGGGGGCCGGCCGUGGGCCCGCCGCCGCCGCGGGGUCACGCGGAGAAGGGGCGUCCGGGCCUCCGUCUGCGUCCACAGCUGCUCCAGGAAGGACGGGCCGGAAACCUCCAGAACCAGGGCGACGCGGCUCAGGGAUGGGGAGCGGGAGAGCACGAUGCGGAAACGUGCCCUUCCGGGGGAUCAGGAAGGGAAGAAAUCAAAGAAAUUCGAGAAAAUGAGCAGAACUAAGGGGCAUGGGCUUCUGGGUCAAAGGCUACAGAGCGCCUGGUACGUGAGUGAAAGUGGCCCGCAGAAACUUAGCCAACAGCGUGGGGUGUUGAAGACCCUAAACUGCCCACGGGACAUCGCACUCACACGUCCAAGAGAGUCGCUCCCACGACGUGAUCCACCUGAACUCAGGGCCUGAAUGUUGUGUCUCCGGCAUUCAUAGGUCGAAGCCCUAACCCCCAAUGUGAUGUGGGGACGCCAGCCACUACAUUGUGAGGACACUGGAGCAGCCUGUGGAGAUGUCAACGUGGGGAGGGACUGAGGCCUCCUGCCCACGGCCCUGUGAGGAGCCGCGUUGGAAUCAGCUCCUCCAUCCCCUGUGGAGCCUUCACAUGAAACACUGAAGCCCCUGUUCACGUGAGACCGGGAGCCAGGACCACCCAGCUGAGAUGCACCCAAAUUCCCAACACAGAACUGUGAGAUAAUAAAUAUUUGUUAUUUUAAGCCACUAAGUUUCAAGGUAAUUUGAACACAGCGACAGACAACUAAUACACGUCUUCUAUCAGUUACAGCUGUGUGAUAUUGGGUCCGUUAAUCUCUG
This 1337-nucleotide long non-coding RNA is filed under the name Equus asinus (donkey). Its description in RNAcentral is "lncRNA (ENSEASG00005030366.1)". Lineage: Eukaryota; Metazoa; Chordata; Mammalia; Perissodactyla; Equidae. The record is from RNAcentral.